GAGGCUAUGACCUAGGCUGAAUUUGUUAGAUUUCUUUUUGUUGAGGAUGUUUUAAAGUCCUCAGGUCAGUGGGGUCUUACUGUGAGGCUCUUGUCCCUUUUUGUUUGUGCACGCUCACCUGGAUCCCUUUCCAUCCCUGGUACUGCCAGUGGCCCAGUGCACGAGUACAAGGGAAAGGCAGGGCAGCUGCUGCUCCCACUUGGCAUGAUUGCCUAGGAGGGAGUUACACAAAAGGAGAGAAUUGAUUUCUAGGUUGGUUUCCGUGAGAAAAAUGAAACUUCCUGCGAUUUGUCUAUGUGCGUCUCCCUCACCCCCCCCCCCCCCCUUCCAAAUAACUUUUGAACCCUUUGGUCAGUUUUGGCCCUGUUGGAUUGGGAGUUCCCACUGCAGGAAGUUAAUUGAGAUGAGCAGUUGGUAAGAGGAGAGAGUCGCCAUGAACAUCCCUCUGAAGAGGAACCUGUGGCUUGGCACCGGGGAAUUCACACGGAAAAGAGAUGCGAACGCUCCAGCAUUUCUGUGGGGUCUACUGAAUUGUUUUGCCUGAACUGUGUAAGUGACUUGAUUUAUUACUGAGCUACGAAGAGCAACAGGAAACAUCCACUAUUUGUAUACACCAGCCCGAAUUUACUUGUUUUAUGCUUCUAGUGUGCACGGUAAACUUCUGACAGUCUGCCCCAGAAUUUUAUUAGUUGAUCUGGAAGAAGUCUGCCUUUGCAAGACCAGGUCUGUGCAGGUUCCCUGGGCGCUGAAUGCGACCUUCACCAGGUCAGAUUGCUUCAGACCUGCCUCGUGGAUGUACUGGCGCUGCACAAUGUCCAACUGCAAAACAAGGCCAACAUUGAACUUCAAAAUUCAAGUGCAGCUGUAAGAGAUACCAUCCAUAAAGCCAUGGAGAAAGGAUGUUCUGAAAGCACUAAUUAGACCUGACUGGGCUGUGACAUUAAAAAAAAAAAACCAAAACAACACAACCAACAUUUGGGGAAAGCAUCAUUAGGGCAUGUGCAUUCCACAGUGAUCCUAUGUGUAGGAAAGAAGAAGAAAAAAUAAUUUAGAGGGAUUUUACCUAGAAAUUGGACAUUCAACAGGAGUAGCACACACUGUUUUGAAGUAUUUUUUCAACUAUCAACAUUUAGCUAUGCUUAACAAGUAAAAGGUUUGCAAUAAAGGCAAGAACAUCUCAGCCUGGAAUCCAGCCUUGCCAUACAGCUGCUGGGUUUUUUUCCUUUUUGCCACAUUAAGUCUUCAAAUAAAUUCUGAUGCACAAGUUACUUGACUAAAGAACUUAAAAGUUUUGGUACAAGCUCAUUCAACUUACACUGAAGAGCUGUUGGUCACUUUGGAGGCAAUAGAACUGCAAGUGGCCAGGCUCUCCAUUCAUGACCAGAGCUUUGGUUCUAGGAUCAACCACUAGGCCAGUCUUGACAUCCCUACCUGGAAACAAAAAUCAGGUGACAAAUGACCAAAGAUGGUAAGUGACACAUUCCAUCCUCUAAAGGGAAGGUAAGUUUUAUUGAACUUACUUUUGAUUAGCCCUUGAAUACUUCUGGAAAACCUUAGGUUGCUGUUGAUUAUUGUAAUUCCUGAAAGAGAAACCAAACCAGGUCUUGCAAAAGGCUUUUGCAAUGUAACCACAUCUCACAGUGGGAAAGGGACCACAACCAACUGUCCUGCAAAUGUAUCUUUUCCCAAUUUAUGACACCCCUACAUCAGGGUGGAAGGCCAAGUUACAGCAGUCACCAGGAAAAUUCACAGAACUGAUGCAGGAGAAAAAAAUCGCUUCAAGCAUCUGUCCUUUCAGAUCAGCACUGACAUUUCAUGCAGUAUCUGUUUAAUUAAUCUGAAAUCAACAAAAUAAAGCUCAUACAGAUUUGCAUUCCAUUUUGCAUUAAGUGAUGCUCAAGUUUGCUUUGGCUUACUGUUGUCUGUGUGCAAGGUGCAGCAGAGCGCGCCGUCAGAUGACAUGGAGAUGUACUCAAUGGGAGACCCCAAACGAGGCAGGAAAUCCUUCUGACACGAUGAUUCAUUGUGCCACUGGACUAAAACUGAUUCAACUCCACCACUCAGCAACCUGGUU
Pseudopipra pipra is the source of this 2074-nucleotide long non-coding RNA. RefSeq lists it as uncharacterized. The record is from RefSeq and is a predicted model, not a curated record. NCBI's taxonomy places the organism in Eukaryota, Metazoa, Chordata, Aves, Passeriformes, Pipridae. The transcript is spliced from 4 exons.